GGCGCGAUGGCGCAGUGGCUAGCGCUGCUGACCCUUAAUUUUCUACCCUCAGGUUCGAUUCCACCUAGGGUCA
Non-coding RNA from Caenorhabditis brenneri, 73 nucleotides. Lineage: Eukaryota; Metazoa; Nematoda; Chromadorea; Rhabditida; Rhabditidae. The record is from the annotation of a GenBank genome assembly.